AUACUUACCUGGCAGGGGAGAUACCAUGAUCACGAAGGUGGUUUUCCCAGGGCGAGGCUUAUCCAUUGCACUCCGGAUGUGCUGACCUCUGCGAUUUCCCCAAAUGUGGGAAACUCGACUGCAUAAUUUGUGGUAGUGGGGGACCGUGUUUGCGCUCUCCCCUA
This is a small nuclear RNA of Erinaceus europaeus (western European hedgehog), 164 nucleotides long. Its record names the gene U1. It matches the Rfam family "U1 spliceosomal RNA". Rfam says of the family: U1 is a small nuclear RNA (snRNA) component of the spliceosome (involved in pre-mRNA splicing). NCBI's taxonomy places the organism in Eukaryota, Metazoa, Chordata, Mammalia, Eulipotyphla, Erinaceidae. The record is from Ensembl.